GUAGGGAAUAUUGGACAAUGGGGGGAACCCUGAUCCAGCCAUGCCGCGUGGAGGAAGACUGCCCUCUGGGUUGUAAACUCCUUUUAUAUGGGAAGAACCGUCCUCAUUAAUGAGUGACCUGACGGUACCAUAGGAAUAAGCACCGGCUAACUCCGUGCCAGCAGCCGCGGUAAUACGGAGGGUGCAAGCGUUAUCCGGAUUCACUGGGUGUAAAGGGUGCGUAGGCGGAUAAAUAAGUCAGUGGUGAAAUCAACGGGCUCAACCUGUUAACUGCCAUUGAUACUGUGUAUCUUGAAUAUGAGAGAGGUAGGCGGAAUGUUGCAUGUAGCGGUGAAAUGCUUAGAUAUGCUACGGAACACCGAUUGCGAAGGCAGCUUACUAUUUCGUAAUUGACGCUGAGGCACGAAAGCGUGGGUAGCGAACAGGAUUAGAUACCCGUGUAGUCC
RNAcentral lists this ribosomal RNA (446 nucleotides) under uncultured bacterium. Its description in RNAcentral is "partial 16S ribosomal RNA". It matches the Rfam family "Bacterial small subunit ribosomal RNA", at positions 354 to 796 of the family's 1533-position model. The record is from RNAcentral.